GGCACUUUCAGUGUCCGAGUUGUAAUCUCGAGAAGUAUUUUCCGCGCCGGACCGCAUACAAGUCUGUUGGAAUACAGCGUCAUAGUGGUGAGAACCCCGUAACUGAUGCGGAUGCCCGGUGCUUUGUGAUAUACUUUCGAAGAGUCGAGUUGUUUGGGAAUGCAGCUCAAAUUGGGUGGUAAAUUCCAUCUAAAGCUAAAUAUUGGAGCAAGACCGAUAGCGAACAAGUACCGUGAGGGAAAGAUGAAAAGCACUUUGGAAAGAGAGUUAACAGUACGUGAAAUUGUUGGAAGGGAAACGCUUGAAGUCAGACUUGCUAUUCGGAGUUCAGCCGCAAGGUGUAUUCUUCGAUUUGCAGGCCAGCAUCAGUUUUUGGGGGUG
RNAcentral lists this ribosomal RNA (381 nucleotides) under Leucosporidium sp. Its description in RNAcentral is "partial large subunit ribosomal RNA". It matches the Rfam family "Eukaryotic large subunit ribosomal RNA", at positions 124 to 517 of the family's 3401-position model. The record is from RNAcentral. Lineage: Eukaryota; Fungi; Basidiomycota; Microbotryomycetes; Leucosporidiales; Leucosporidiaceae.